ACAACUGUCUGUCAAAAAGUUUGCUUUUGCUUUUUUAUUUAAAAAAUUAAAAUUUAAUAAAACAAAGCUCUAAACAAAAUGAGAGAAAAAAAAAAACAAACAAAAAAAAUCGUAGAAUUGUUCCUGUUUUACCUAUGCUUACUUAUGAUGCCCAAGGAGAUGACGAACAGAGAUCGCUGCCACACAUCGACAAUGGGUUCCAUUCCAAACUACCACCAGGAAUUCUACCACAUGGUUUGCCCACUAUGAAGGAAGUUGCAUCAGCCAUAACACCACUUGAACACAAAAAAGAACCUGAAGAGAAAAAUAAAUUAAGGAACUAUCGGAAGAACAAAAACAGAUGAUCAUCUUGUCGGCGGACUUUCAAAGGUUUGUUUUACCCGCUGGACGUGUCUUCGAAAGGGCUCUAUCUGAGAAUGUCGACAUCUACACCGAAUACAUUGGAGGUGGUGAUAGGAGUCAAACGAUGAGAGGACACAUGCUAGGUUGUCAUUGAAUCGAGAUUUCCACGAAGACCGAUGGUCUAAGAAUCGAUGCGUCACUUCAAUGGAUUGGCCAACACAUUUUGGUUGUUGUUUCAUAUCACAAUCAUGAGGAGAGUCACAAUGAACCAGAUGGUGUUGUAAUGGUCUGGAACACAAAAUAUAAAAAACAAACACCCGAAGAUGUAUUCCAUUGUCAAAGUGCCGUUAUGUCAACAUGCUUUGCUAAACCAGCAGAGCACCUCUAAGUGCAACUGCACAUACGCAUCCAGUGUAUUGUUUGCAAAUGGUUGGCACACAGAAUGCAGACAAUGUGUUAUCGAUCUCAUCCGAUGGCAAGCUUUGCUCAUGGAGAUACACUGGAAUUGCAGCCACGGCAAUCGAACCCAAUUGCUAUCAGUUGCAUGUCCUUUCCAUCGAAUGAGAUUAACAAUCUGGUUAUGGGUAGUGAAGAUGGCAAUGUUUAUUAUGCUUAUCGACAUGGAAUACGUUCGGGUGUGUCUGAAGUCUAUGAGAAACAUUUGGGUCCAGUGACGGGAAUAUCAACAG
Episyrphus balteatus (marmalade hoverfly) is the source of this 1031-nucleotide long non-coding RNA. RefSeq lists it as uncharacterized. The record is from RefSeq and is a predicted model, not a curated record. The transcript is spliced from 4 exons. Lineage: Eukaryota; Metazoa; Arthropoda; Insecta; Diptera; Syrphidae.